Molecule: ribosomal RNA, 253 nt
Filed under: uncultured bacterium
Lineage: Bacteria
Description: partial 16S ribosomal RNA
Rfam family: Bacterial small subunit ribosomal RNA
Source: RNAcentral
UACGGAGGGUGCAAGCGUUAUCCGGAUUCACUGGGUUUAAAGGGCUCGUAGGUGGCCAACUAAGUCAGACGUGAAAUCCCUCGGCUUAACCGGGGAACUGCGUCUGAUACUGGAUGGCUUGAGUUUGGGAGAGGGACGCGGAAUUCCAGGUGUAGCGGUGAAAUGCGUAGAUAUCUGGAGGAACACCGGUGGCGAAGGCGGCGUCCUGGACCAACACUGACACUGAUGAGCGAAAGCCAGGGGAGCAAACGGG